AUCUCUUGGUUCCAGCAUCGAUAAAGAACGCAGCGAAAUGCGAUAAGUAAUGUGAAUUGCAAAAUUCAGUGAAUCAUCGAAUCUUUGAACGCACAUUGCGCCCCUCGGUAUUCCGGGGGGCAUACCUGUUCGAGCGUCAUU
RNAcentral lists this ribosomal RNA (141 nucleotides) under Nodobryoria abbreviata. Its description in RNAcentral is "5.8S ribosomal RNA". It matches the Rfam family "5.8S ribosomal RNA". From Rfam's summary of the family: 5.8S ribosomal RNA (5.8S rRNA) is a component of the large subunit of the eukaryotic ribosome. It is transcribed by RNA polymerase I as part of the 45S precursor that also contains 18S and 28S rRNA. The record is from RNAcentral. Lineage: Eukaryota; Fungi; Ascomycota; Lecanoromycetes; Lecanorales; Parmeliaceae.